This 492-nucleotide ribosomal RNA is filed under the name uncultured bacterium. RNAcentral's name for it is "partial 16S ribosomal RNA". It matches the Rfam family "Bacterial small subunit ribosomal RNA", at positions 29 to 507 of the family's 1533-position model. The record is from RNAcentral.
AGUGAACGCUGGCGGUAGGCCUAACACAUGCAAGUCGAACGGCAGCACAGUAAGAGCUCGCUCUUACGGGUGGCGAGUGGCGGACGGGUGAGGAAUACAUCGGAAUCUACUUUUUCGCGGGGGAUAACGUAGGGAAACUUACGCUAAUACCGCAUACGACCUACGGGUGAAAGCAGGGGAUCUUCGGACCUUGCGCGAUUGAAUGAGCCGAUGUCGGAUUAGCUAGUUGGCGGGGUAAAGGCCCACCAAGGCGACGAUCCGUAGCUGGUCUGAGAGGAUGAUCAGCCACACUGGAACUGAGACACGGUCCAGACUCCUACGGGAGGCAGCAGUGGGGAAUAUUGGACAAAGGGCGCAAGCCUGAUCCAGCCAUACCGCGUGGGUGAAGAAGGCCUUCGGGUUGUAAAGCCCUUUUGUUGGGAAAGAAAAGCAGCAGGUUAAUACCCCGCUGUUCUGACGGUACCCAAAGAAUAAGCACCGGCUAACUUCGUG